ACUAUUUUGGCAGAAGUAAGUGUAACAGAUUUAGAAUCUGUAAAUAUAAUUGAUAAUUAUAGAUAGUA
RNAcentral lists this transfer RNA (68 nucleotides) under Hierodula chinensis. Its description in RNAcentral is "tRNA-Leu". It matches the Rfam family "tRNA". From Rfam's summary of the family: Transfer RNA (tRNA) molecules are approximately 80 nucleotides in length. Their secondary structure includes four short double-helical elements and three loops (D, anti-codon, and T loops). RNAcentral also lists the same sequence under 1 other name. The record is from RNAcentral. Lineage: Eukaryota; Metazoa; Arthropoda; Insecta; Mantodea; Mantidae.